AUAGCAGACAUAAAUGCUACCCCUCUCCCUGUCUCCCUUUCUGGGGGGGUGGGGCAUGGCUGCGGGUGUAGCAGACGGAUGGGCGAGUGGGGCUGACGUGUGGCGAGCGGUGGGAGCCCUUGUGGCUGUCACCCUGGCCACCGCAGCCCGGCCGCCCGUCCAGGUGCUGAGCCCGUGGCCCGCUGCCCACCACCUAGACUCUGGCCCACGCUGCCGCGCGGGGCGUUGCCUUGUGUUGCUUUUGCAGGGCAAGACAGCGUCCAGGGCAUGGUACGAUGUGGUGCCCCCAGCCCGCGGUAACCCUUCCUCAAGGCCUCUCUCCGGAGUUGGCUGGAAGGGUUACGGCCAGGGCGUGCCGGCUGGCUGCCAUCUCGGUGGCAAGCCCACGGUUCCCAGUCCAUGCGCCCACAGGCAUCUGGGGACGCGUUGUGCUCGGUCCGUGCGGCUGCUUCCAGGGGUGCCCAGCCUCCGCCCUGGUGAUGGUCUCGCCCCUUCCCGCUCGGCUUUCCAUCUUUACCGCCUCGGCGGUGGAAGGAGCUGCCACACGGGGAGGGCGGGGCCAUCGACCUCCACCAACCAACUGAGCAGCAAACCCGCAGCUUGAAGCAGCAGCCCUUGUGGUCGCUGACUUAACCCCUGAGCAACACUACACAAUGGAUUUCUCGGCUCCCAUAACGAUGAAGAACGCAGCAAAGCGCGAUAGGUAGUGUGAAUUGCAGAAUUCCGCGAAUCAUCGAAUCUUUGAACGCAUAUUGCGCCUGAGCCUCCUGGCUUGGGCAUGUCUGCCUCAGCGUCGGUUUAAUCUCUUGCCCCGCACCCCCACAGGCUUGGCCUGGCUGGGGGUAGGAGCAGCCUUGGCCCCUGCCGGGCUCCCUGGUGAGCCUGGCACCGGCUGAUGAUCGAAGGGCCUGCCCCAUCCCGCGCCUGUGUUGUGCGGCAUGCAAAGCGGUGCCCGGCUUCAAUGGUCUGGUGGCAUCUCUGCCUCACCCCCAACUGAAUGCCGGUGCAACCCCAUCCAUGCACGCACAUGGGCACCUACGGCGACGGGAGUCGUGGCCAGCUGCUGACCCUUCUCACAGGAGGGGCGGCUGGUGGUCAUGCCUGGUGGCAUGGCACGGGCCUGGGGUCGGCGUCCGGGUUGCCCUUCUGCAAUGGAAAGGCACCCGUCGCAGCCCCCCUGCCCCGCCCCCAACCUCUAAACCUCGACCUGAGUUCAGGCAGGGCCACCCGC
This 1231-nucleotide ribosomal RNA is filed under the name Aegagropilopsis sp. HB1209. RNAcentral's name for it is "eukaryotic LSU rRNA". The stretch from base 643 to 796 matches the Rfam family "5.8S ribosomal RNA". The record is from RNAcentral. Lineage: Eukaryota; Viridiplantae; Chlorophyta; Ulvophyceae; Cladophorales; Pithophoraceae.